Molecule: ribosomal RNA, 888 nt
Filed under: uncultured bacterium
Lineage: Bacteria
Description: bacterial SSU rRNA
Rfam family: Bacterial small subunit ribosomal RNA
Source: RNAcentral
UGCAAGUCGAACGGGAUUACUUUUGUAGCAAUACAGAAGUAAUUCAGUGGCGNACGGGUGCGUAACACGUGGGCAAUCUGCCGAAAAGUGGGGGAUAGCUCGCCGAAAGGCGAAUUAAUACCGCAUGUGGUGAGGGACGACAUCUUCCUGAAUCCAAAGCCGGGGCAACCUGGCGCUUUUUGAGGAGCCCGCGGCCUAUCAGCUAGUUGGUGAGGUAACGGCUCACCAAGGCUAUGACGGGUAGCUGGUCUGAGAGGACGACCAGUCACACUGGAACUGAGACACGGUCCAGACACCUACGGGUGGCAGCAGUCGAGAAUUUUUCUCAAUGGGGGAAACCCUGAAGGAGCGACGCCGCGUGGAGGAUGAAGGCUUUCGGGUUGUAAACUCCUGUCAUUUGGGAACAAGGUGGACACGUUAACUGCGUGGUCAUUGAUAGUACCAGAAGAGGAAGGGACGGCUAACUCUGUGCCAGCAGCCGCGGUAAUACAGAGGUCCCAAGCGUUGUUCGGAUUCAUUGGGCGUAAAGGGUGCGUAGGUGGCGCCGUAAGUCGGGUGUGAAAUUUCGGAGCUUAACUCCGAAACUGCAUUCGAUACUGCGGUGCUUGAGGACUGGAGAGGAGACUGGAAUUCAUGGUGUAGCAGUGAAAUGCGUAGAGAUCAUGAGGAAGACCAGUGGCGAAGGCGGGUCUCUGGACAGUUCCUGACACUGAGGCACGAAGGCCAGGGGAGCAAACGGGAUUAGAUACCCCCGGUAGUCCUGGCAGUAAACGGUGCACGUUUGGUGUGGGAGGAUUCGACCCCUUCCGCGCCGGANCUAACGCGUUAACCGUGCCCCCUGGGGAGUACGGUCGCNAAAUUAAACUCAAAGAAAUUUAACGGGGGCCC